GCCCAGCUUGCUGGGUGGAUUAGUGGCGAACGGGUGAGUAACACGUGAGUAACCUGCCCUUAACUCUGGGAUAAGCCUGGGAAACUGGGUCUAAUACCGGAUAGGAGCGUCCACCGCAUGGUGGGUGUUGGAAAGAUUUAUCGGUUUUGGAUGGACUCGCGGCCUAUCAGCUUGUUGGUGAGGUAAUGGCUCACCAAGGCGACGACGGGUAGCCGGCCUGAGAGGGUGACCGGCCACACUGGGACUGAGACACGGCCCAGACUCCUACGGGAGGCAGCAGUGGGGAAUAUUGCACAAUGGGCGCAAGCCUGAUGCAGCGACGCCGCGUGAGGGAUGACGGCCUUCGGGUUGUAAACCUCUUUCAGUAGGGAAGAAGCGAAAGUGACGGUACCUGCAGAAGAAGCACCGGCUAACUACGUGCCAGCAGCCGCGGUAAUACGUAGGGUGCGAGCGUUAUCCGGAAUUAUUGGGCGUAAAGAGCUCGUAGGCGGUUUGUCGCGUCUGUCGUGAAAGUCCGGGGCUUAACCCCGGAUCUGCGGUGGGUACGGGCAGACUAGAGUGCAGUAGGGGAGACUGGAAUUCCUGGUGUAGCGGUGGAAUGCGCAGAUAUCAGGAGGAACACCGAUGGCGAAGGCAGGUCUCUGGGCUGUAACUGACGCUGAGGAGCGAAAGCAUGGGGAGCGAACAGGAUUAGAUACCCUGGUAGUCCAUGCCGUAAACGUUGGGGCACUAGGUGUGGGGGACCAUUCCACGGUUUCCGCGCCGCAGCUAACGCAUUAAGUGCCCCGCCUGGGGGAGUACGG
Molecule: ribosomal RNA, 803 nt
Filed under: Micrococcus luteus
Lineage: Bacteria; Bacillati; Actinomycetota; Actinomycetes; Micrococcales; Micrococcaceae
Description: bacterial SSU rRNA
Rfam family: Bacterial small subunit ribosomal RNA
Source: RNAcentral